UACAGAGGUCUCAAGCGUUGUUCGGAUUCAUUGGGCGUAAAGGGUGCGUAGGUGGUGGGGUAAGUCGGAUGUGAAAUCCCGGGGCUCAACCCCGGAACUGCCUUUGAUACAGCACGUCUUGAGUCCGGAAGAGGUGGGUGGAAUUCCUAGUGUAGAGGUGAAAUUCGUAGAUAUUAGGAAGAACACCGGUGGCGAAGGCGGCCCACUGGUCCGGUACUGACGCUGAGGUGCGAAAGCGUGGGGAGCAAACAGG
RNAcentral lists this ribosomal RNA (253 nucleotides) under uncultured bacterium. Its description in RNAcentral is "partial 16S ribosomal RNA". It matches the Rfam family "Bacterial small subunit ribosomal RNA", at positions 524 to 776 of the family's 1533-position model. The record is from RNAcentral.